This 1442-nucleotide long non-coding RNA is filed under the name Coffea arabica (coffee). Its description in RNAcentral is "long non-coding RNA (CARA_LNC004084)". The record is from RNAcentral. Lineage: Eukaryota; Viridiplantae; Streptophyta; Magnoliopsida; Gentianales; Rubiaceae.
ACAUUUUAGCAGCUGUUGCAGUGUGAGCUUCUUGCGGCUAUGACACUUAUAUUUUUGUUUUCUAUCAUAGUUAAUCUUUUGGUCCGGCUAUAACCUAUUGACUUUGUUUCUCUGGGGACACAUUGCUGUUCAUAUAUAUCAGCGCUGAUUAUGCUUCGGUGUAUUUUUUUUCUUCUUCAUGGAAUUCGAAAGUCUAGCCUGGACCAUGAAAAGGAUGCAAGGUCUGCUUGAUUCUUGUCAUUUCUCACUGGAUUUCUUUAAUUGCAGACUCCCUUCUUACCCGUCAACGCAUGACCUACCCAAGAAUGAUGUUUUGACAGAAGCAGCAGUCAACGAGGUGAGUGACAAUCUCUUUUAGUUCAAUUCUGUACGGACGUGGGGUGGCAAGUGUGUAAAUGGAUACACAUAGCGGAUCCUAUGCUUGUAGUUUUGGUAUAGGAUGCAUAAAGAAUUACUAAUUAACCCCACAGUCAAUUUUUGAACAAUGAUUGCUCCGUUUCUUUUAAACUCUCAGUUUGAUUGUUCAGCCUUCACAGAAGGGUAGAAAAGGAGAAUGGAAAGAACUUUGUGUCCCCCUCCCAAAAAAAAUUUCUGGGGAAAAGAGCACUGAAGAAAAAUGUACUGCAGGAGUUUUGUAGUAUAACUUGCUAUUUUUAGGAGUUUUUGUAGAAAAGUAUAUUGUAGAGGAUUGAUAUAUAUGAGAUAAAAAAAUAUUUGAAAAAUGUAUUCACGAAAAAUAUAAAAAUUUUUCUAUGUUUCUGCUCUUAGUUUCUUUUCUUUUAAUUGUGGAAAGUGUUGUUACUUAAUGCGCUCCCUUUGAGUUAGUGUGAGAGAGAUGUAGACCAUUCAGAGGACGCUCCAUUCUUAUCAACCACUUGGCCUGCCGAAUUUUGCAAUGAAUUAUGGCCAGAAAAUGCUUCUGAUGCAGUAUGUGUAGGAGAUGAGAAUGUUCUGCUGGCCUAGACAAUGAGUUUGUCUUCUGGACUUUAAAGAUGCCAUAUAUUUCUUCACCACCAUUUUUCUGUAAGUCUUCACCACCCUCUAUAUUUGUUAAUGCAUAUUUUGAUGGGGCAGCUGUUCCAAUUCUUUUUCUGUUUUUUUUUUUUUUUUAUGUGGUUGAUCAAAAACUAUUCUUUGUUAAGAAUUUUUACAACUGUCCAGUUACUCAGCUUAGUUGAUAGUCAAAUUGGAGGCAGUAAAAUUAAGUUAAUCACAGCUAUUUGAAAACCCUAAUAACUGGAAUUGAAUUGAUACCCACCUACCUUUUUUUGUUCUUUGCCCAGGGGACAAGCAGCAUGGAGAUGGACUAGGGCUUAAGGAUCACUAGUAUAUCUGAGUCUCAGCAUGUAAAUAUGUCUUGUUGACUAUGACGGACGUUCACCUUUUGCCUAUGUGCUUUUUGAUGAAUCAAUUAGAGCUUAUGGCAUGGUAGAUUGGUUUUA